AACGAACGCUGGCGGCAGGCCUAACACAUGCAAGUCGAACGCCCUUUUAGGGAGUGGCGCACGGGUGCGUAACGCGUGGGAAUAUACCCUUGAGUAAGGAAUAACGUAGAGAAAUUUGCGCUAAUACCUUAUAAUGACUCCGGUCCAAAGAUUUAUCGCUCAAGGAUUAGCCCGCGUCAGAUUAGAUUGUUGGUGGGGUAACGGCCUACCAAGUCGACGAUCUGUAGGGGGUCUGAGAGGAUGAUCCCCCACACUGGUACUGAGACACGGACCAGACUCCUACGGGAGGCAGCAGUGAGGAAUAUUGGACAAUGGAGGAAACUCUGAUCCAGCCAUGCCGCGUGAGUGAAGAAGGCCUUAGGGUUGUAAAGCUCUUUCAUAUGUGAAGAUAAUGACGGUAGCAUAAGAAGAAGCUCCGGCUAAAUUCG
This 428-nucleotide ribosomal RNA is filed under the name uncultured Alphaproteobacteria bacterium. RNAcentral describes it as "bacterial SSU rRNA". It matches the Rfam family "Bacterial small subunit ribosomal RNA", at positions 29 to 505 of the family's 1533-position model. Lineage: Bacteria; Pseudomonadati; Pseudomonadota; Alphaproteobacteria. The record is from RNAcentral.